GAAUACUUUCGUCAUUUGCUUAAGCCUGUAACGUAGAUUGAUUUCGCUCCUUCGUGUUCCUCUUAAGCUGGUGUUCUUUGUUUUUUCCUCUUGUUUCUCAAUCAAAUAGCAAGCAAUCAGCCACUUCUAUUAUUACAAGGUCCAUCAGGUGAUUGUUUUGGUUGGAUGGGAGAAGGCGGUGGAUUCCCGCAGCAACACUUUCCUUGGCAAUUGCCUAAUUCGGAUUUGCCAAAUUUCCAAUUCAACUUGGGGUAUCCAGGUCUUAUCUUGGCCCAGAAAAGUAGUGGCCAGAAAAUGGUUCCCGUCCACCGGUGCGUCCUCGCCGCGCGGAGCCUGUUCUUUGGGGCCGCAUUCGCGGGGAGCGAGAGCGGGGCGAGGCUCGAAUUGGCGGAGGUGUUCGGCGUGAGUUCUUUCUUGAGUGUUCUUCCUUUUUUUUUCUGGGGAAAAGGAAGAAAUUGGAGAGGAGCACGCCGGUGAGGAAGCCUCACACUUCGACUUCAGAUCUGCUCAGGUGGUCGGAGACUCCACCCCCCCACGAUUCGACCGGUUCGGCUUCCUCUCGCUCCAAUGCUCGCUCUCACCAGCCUUCGGAUGGGAUCAGCAACGUGGUUUUUGGAGGUCAAGUGACUGCAGAGGAAUCUGAGAAUUUGAACAAAAGAAUAGUGCUUUUGUAAUCUUCCAGGAAGCCUUGUUCUGGCUACAAGUUGAAAGAAAUCACCGGUAGUGGGAUUUUUGCUGCCAAUGGGGAAGAUGAUUUAUUAGAGCCUGGAAGUGCUAACCCUGCUUCAAAUAACAAAACAGGAUUAAAGAUGUACCAGGUUUUCAGUGAGCUUCUGUCUUGAUUGCUGCUCUGCAAUUGCGCUUCUAGAAUUUGAAGUUUGCUAGUAGUCUUGCAAAAGUAAUGAAGGCUCUGCAAGAACUUUAAAGUUUGUUUAUGUGUGGAUGCAGAGCUGAUAAAUGUUGGGCAGAGGCAAGAUGCUCUGCAAGAACUUCACGAUCUUAUUACCUCGAAGAGAUCCCGAGCAUGGCAAAAUACCCUUGAGAGGAUUAUGUUCAAGUACAUUGAGCUA
This is a long non-coding RNA of Syzygium oleosum, 1070 nucleotides long. RefSeq lists it as uncharacterized. NCBI's taxonomy places the organism in Eukaryota, Viridiplantae, Streptophyta, Magnoliopsida, Myrtales, Myrtaceae. The record is from RefSeq and is a predicted model, not a curated record. The transcript is spliced from 5 exons.